GACAGAGGUCCCGAGCGUUAGGCGGAAUCACUGGGCUUAAAGCGUGUGUAGGCGGAUUUGUAAGUACCUUGUGAAAGCCCACGGCUCAACCGUGGAAGAGCACUCGAAACUGCUGCGCUAGAGUUCUGGAGAGGAAGGCGGAAUGCUUGGUGUAGAGGUGAAAUUCGUAGAUAUCAAGCGGAACACCGGUGGCGAAGGCGGCCUUCUGGACAGUGACUGACGCUGAAACGCGAAAGCGUGGGGAGCAAACAGG
This 253-nucleotide ribosomal RNA is filed under the name uncultured bacterium. RNAcentral's name for it is "partial 16S ribosomal RNA". It matches the Rfam family "Bacterial small subunit ribosomal RNA", at positions 524 to 776 of the family's 1533-position model. The record is from RNAcentral.